This 1091-nucleotide long non-coding RNA is filed under the name Dasypus novemcinctus (nine-banded armadillo). Its description in RNAcentral is "lncRNA (ENSDNOG00000050067.1)". Lineage: Eukaryota; Metazoa; Chordata; Mammalia; Cingulata; Dasypodidae. The record is from RNAcentral.
GCCACUGCCCACCAGGCACUGCCCAGCUACCCUGCCCCUGCCCAGCCACCAUGCCCCUGCCCACUGGCCUUGCCUCUGCCCACUGGCCCUGCUCAGCCACCCUGCCCCUGCCCACUGGCCCUGCCCACCCAACAGCUGCCCUCCCUGCUCAGCCCUGCCUCUGCCCCUGCCCACCCGGCUGGGACCUGCCUGCUGAGGCCGUGCCAGGUCGUGGAGAAAACAGACUUGCCUGGGCAGCGCUGCAGGGUGAGGGCACUCAGUCCUGCCAGGCCGGGGGCCGGGGCCCCCUCGCUCCCCUCUGCUGAAGGUUCGGCUUGAUCCGGCCCCUCUGGAGGGCCGUUUACCGUGUCGUGUCUUUAAAACUGAAAAUGCGACUACCCCACCUCCGGGAUUCUACGCCAGGCGCAUCUCCGAGGACCACUCGCCAGAACGUGCACGGGAGGGCAUUUGGCGCCGCUGGUUUGCAGUUUCAAUGCCCGCCAGCCGGGAAAGGAGUACAGGAGAUGAGGCUGGAGCUUCCAGACUCCUCGGCUGCCCCUGAGACCCCCAGAGAGCCGUUGCCUGCAGGCAGUUUCAGCCCCAUUUCGCAGCCCGCCGGUCUCCUAAACGGCCACCUGACCACGGCCUGGCCGAAGCGCGCGGUCCUGGCGCUCUGGAAGAGCCCUCCCGGUCACCCCCCCCCCGGGGGCUUGGCAGGUGAGGGAGAAGCCCCCACCCCGGUCCCCCUUCCAGGAGGAGGGGUCUCACCCCUUGCGGGUCACCCGCACCCAGCCCUGCGCAGCCCGCCCGCUCGGCCGCGGCUCCCUGUUUGGGGAAGCGCUCGGCUGUGUUCUCACUCGGGCGGUUUCCUGAUCCAUGCCACUUUUCCCGGGUGAGAGGCCAGCUGGUGGGGGCGACAGCGGGCGCCACGGAGGGGUCCCGUCCGCGGCCUGGGCAGGGGGCAGGGAGGGGAAGGGCCUGGCACAGCGGCCACCCUGGCUUUCCUGCACACGCCGGAAACGAGCGCAGAGGGGGCAACCCUGCCCCCUGGAGCCGGCCCCGCAGCCCCCGUCCAGCCCACCCUGCCGGGGUGAGUCCCCCAUGCCCAGCUA